CCUACGGGUGGCAGCAGUGGGGAAUAUUGGGCAAUGGGCGCAAGCCUGACCCAGCAACGCCGCGUGAAGGAAGAAGGCUUUCGGGUUGUAAACUUCUUUUCUGAGGGACGAAGACAGUGACGGUACCUCAGGUCUAAGCCACGGCUAACUACGUGCCAGCAGCCGCGGUAAUACGUCGGUGGCAAGCGUUAUCCGGAUUUAUUGGGUGUAAAGGGCGUGUAGGCGGGAAAGCAAGUCAGAUGUGAAAACUCAGGGCUCAACCCUGAGCCUGCAUUUGAAACUGUUUUUCUUGAGUGCUGGGGAGGCAAUCGGAAUUCCGUGUGUAGCGGUGAAAUGCGUAGAGAUACGAAGGAACACCAGUGGCGAAGGCGGAUUGCUGGGCAGUAACUGACGCUGAGGCGCGAAAGCGUGGGGAGCAAACAGGAUUAGAUACCCCAGUAGUC
RNAcentral lists this ribosomal RNA (443 nucleotides) under uncultured bacterium. Its description in RNAcentral is "partial 16S ribosomal RNA". It matches the Rfam family "Bacterial small subunit ribosomal RNA", at positions 338 to 795 of the family's 1533-position model. The record is from RNAcentral.